AGAGUUUGAUCCUGGCUCAGGAUGAACGCUAGCUGGAGGCUUAAUACAUGCAAGUCGAGCGGGAUUGACCAGCAAUGGUCAUGAGAGCGGCGCACGGGUGAGUAACGCGUACACGACCUACCUCUAACAGGGGGAUAGCCCUGGGAAACUGGGAUUAAUACCGCAUAUAAUUCUGAUUUUAAAAGGUUGGAAUGAAAGUUCAGGCGGUUAGAGAUGGGUGUGCGUCUGAUUAGCUAGUUGGUAAGGUAACGGCUUACCAAGGCGAUGAUCAGUAGGGGGCGUGAGAGCGUGGACCCCCACACGGGUACUGAGACACGGACCAGACUCCUACGGAAGGCAGCAGUGAGGAAUAUUGGACAAUGGGCGCAAGCCUGAUCCAGCCAUGCCGCGUGCAGGAAGACGGCCCUAUGGGUUGUAAACUGCUUUUAUACAGGAAGAAACACUCCCUCGUGAGGGAACUUGACGGUACUGUAUGAAUAAGCACCGGCUAACUCCGUGCCAGCAGCCGCGGU
RNAcentral lists this ribosomal RNA (512 nucleotides) under uncultured bacterium. RNAcentral's name for it is "bacterial SSU rRNA". It matches the Rfam family "Bacterial small subunit ribosomal RNA", at positions 8 to 521 of the family's 1533-position model. The record is from RNAcentral.